Molecule: non-coding RNA, 244 nt
Filed under: Mesobacillus selenatarsenatis
Lineage: Bacteria; Bacillati; Bacillota; Bacilli; Caryophanales; Bacillaceae
Description: Bacillus selenatarsenatis T-box sequence
Rfam family: T-box leader
About the family: Uncharged tRNA acts as the effector for transcription antitermination of genes in the T-box leader family.
Source: RNAcentral
UAAAAAUCGAUGACGAGAACACGUCCUUUAUGGAACCUGAUCCACAGAGAGCCGGUGAUUUGCUGCAAGCCGGUGUUCAGAUUGUAGAGGAACAUCAUCUCUGAGAUGCAGAGCUGAAACCUAGACGUAGUAAGCUUUUGCCGGCUUGUCCGCCGUUAAAUGGAACACGUAUGAUGGUACGUUGAUGAGAGCCGCAUGUUUGUGCGGAAUCAGGGUGGUAACGCGAGCACAACUCGUCCCUAUU